This 90-nucleotide unclassified non-coding RNA is filed under the name Schistosoma mansoni. Lineage: Eukaryota; Metazoa; Platyhelminthes; Trematoda; Strigeidida; Schistosomatidae. The record is from RNAcentral.
AACCGUCACGGUUUUACUCUUGUGAUUUGUUGCAUGGUAAGAACCGUCGACCAAGAAUCGAAGUUUUCUUUGGCAGCCCUACACACGGGG